Non-coding RNA from Pteropus alecto (black flying fox), 119 nucleotides. NCBI's taxonomy places the organism in Eukaryota, Metazoa, Chordata, Mammalia, Chiroptera, Pteropodidae. The record is from Rfam.
GUCUACGGCCAUGCUACUCUGAACAAGCCGAAUCUCAUCUGAUCUCGGAAGCUAAGCAGGGUUGGGCCUGGUUAGUACUUGGAUGGGAGACCAGCUAGGAAGACCAGGUGCUGUAGGCA